Molecule: ribosomal RNA, 497 nt
Filed under: uncultured bacterium
Lineage: Bacteria
Description: partial 16S ribosomal RNA
Rfam family: Bacterial small subunit ribosomal RNA
Source: RNAcentral
GAUGAACGCUGGCGGCGUGCCUAAUACAUGCAAGUCGAGCGAACAGACGAGGAGCUUGCUCCUCUGACGUUAGCGGCGGACGGGUGAGUAACACGUGGAUAACCUACCUAUAAGACUGGGAUAACUUCGGGAAACCGGAGCUAAUACCGGAUAAUAUAUUGAACCGCAUGGUUCAAUAGUGAAAGACGGUUUUGCUGUCACUUAUAGAUGGAUCCGCGCCGCAUUAGCUAGUUGGUAAGGUAACGGCUUACCAAGGCAACGAUGCGUAGCCGACCUGAGAGGGUGAUCGGCCACACUGGAACUGAGACACGGUCCAGACUCCUACGGGAGGCAGCAGUAGGGAAUCUUCCGCAAUGGGCGAAAGCCUGACGGAGCAACGCCGCGUGAAUGAUGAAGGUCUUCGGAUCGUAAAACUCCGUUAUUAGGGAAGAACAAAUGUGUAAGUAACUAUGCACGUCUUGACGGUACCUAAUCAGAAAGCCACGGCUAACUACGUG